GUUUGUUUGAUUAGGUUUGGAGCUAAUGGAUCUUAAAUUUGAUUUAAAACAUCCUGCAGAUACCCUAUAUUAAGAUAGUAUGCGUGAGAGUGCUGGGCAUGGAGUCAGGAAAAUCAUUCUUUUUCCUUGUCAUUGGUUAAUGAUGAAGCACCUAUGCCUCAAACUGAAUUAAAACUAAGGUUUGAUUAGUCUUCCAUCCAGUCUUUUUGUCUGUUUCUGGAUGAUUCCAUGCUUCAUUGAUAUGGAUUAUUCUGCUUUUCCUUGAGGUUUCGGUGCUUUGUUUUGUCUCUUACAAAAUUUAAGUGUGUGCAUGUUUCAGUUUUGCUUUUAGAGUAUAACAAGGUUAAAGUCACUAAAACACUGACAUGCUCAAAGCUAUAAUUUUGUUUUAGAAAGGGUAUAUUUCAUGUUGGCCAAAAAGCCCUCUGACCCCAGAGGGUUAAACAUUUUGUUGAUUCAUCAAAUUUGGAAAGGCAACUUAAAAUUCAAGAGCAAUUCAAGAGAAAAAUGUCUCUCUAAAUAAAAAGUGCACUAUAUACUACACACUAUAAACUGCACUAUGUAUGUACAUACUACAUCUACUGCAAUUCAAGGGAACUUGGCAUAAAAAUUUGUCAAAUAUACUAAUGUAGGUGAUGUACAUUUUCUUUUCUACUGUCAGUUGAUUUUCCCUUUGCACUUAUGCGCUCAACACAAUUUGUGCCAUUUGUAAGUUCCACGCAUUGCUUACAUUACUGCCUUGACACUUCAUUUCUCUGAAGAAUCUUUCCAUCUCACCCCAAACUGCCGUUAGAUGGCAGACCAUUUAGAAAAAUGAUGCAUAUGCCAGAAUACUUGCAAAUGGACUCUGACAGUAUACACCACAUGUGGUGCAACGUGUAUAUUAGGAGUGGAAAAAGAGCAAAGAUCUGGCAACCUCAUCUGGCUGGUCCUCCAUGUCUCUAUUGUGGUGUCAGUAUCCACUCUGAUGUCUGAUGGAAUAAACACUUAAGCUUUGGCCCUUAUUGCAUGUUUGAAGUGUGUCCUGGACGAAGGCUGCAUCAACGUGUACUUCACAAGCUGCUGAGUGCUCAUUCUCUUGUCGGCUGCAGUUGUACCCAAGCAACACUUUUGAGUUAAGUGUCAUCUUAUAGCUGUGUUCUACUGACCCUCGAGUCCUCUAGAGUUGACUAUGAGAGGAAAAGGUUUUGGUUGAACUACUGUGUACAUAGGAGUUGAAAAGCUGAGUUUUUGGAAGCUAUUUAUUUGAUAACCAUUCAAGAUGUUACAGUUUAUGGGUGGUUUGGACUUUGCCCCAUAAUUCUUUAUGGUAGCCAUUUUUAUAUGUGAUUUAAGCAGUAUUACAUUUAUUUGACUUUUUUUCUCCAUCGAGCUGUUUAAAAAUAUCAAUUUUCUAUUUAAUUGUAAUCUUCAUUUCAACAUCCUGUAUGCUGAUUUUUAAAAUCCCAUGAUGAAUCUUUUUACCCCCUUUUUAACUCUUAAGUUCAGUGGCUGCAUGGAAACAUCUUAAAAUAAUAAAUGUUUUAUGAUUGGGCCCUUUGUAGUGAAUUAAAUGCA
Molecule: long non-coding RNA, 1557 nt
Organism: Cyprinus carpio (common carp)
Lineage: Eukaryota; Metazoa; Chordata; Actinopteri; Cypriniformes; Cyprinidae
Exons: 4
Source: RefSeq, a predicted model, not a curated record